Molecule: ribosomal RNA, 253 nt
Filed under: uncultured bacterium
Lineage: Bacteria
Description: partial 16S ribosomal RNA
Rfam family: Bacterial small subunit ribosomal RNA
Source: RNAcentral
GACAGAGGGUGCGAACGUUGUUCGGAAUUACUGGGCGUAAAGGGCGCGUAGGCGGCCUGCUAAGUCGAACGUGAAAUCCCUGGGCUCAACCCAGGAACUGCGUCCGAUACUGGUUGGCUUGAAUCCGGGAGAGGGAUGCGGAAUUCCAGGUGUAGCGGUGAAAUGCGUAGAUAUCUGGAGGAACACCGGUGGCGAAGGCGGCAUCCUGGACCGGCAUUGACGCUGAGGCGCGAAAGCCAGGGGAGCAAACGGG